GAUGGCGGCCAUAGAAGCCGGGGAUAUUCCUGAUCUCGGCCGAACUCAGUAGACAAGCCCGGUUUCGUUUACGUAGAUGUGCGGUGCGCGAGCCCGUGACAGGACGUAAAGCUGCCACAU
Molecule: ribosomal RNA, 120 nt
Filed under: Candidatus Thorarchaeota archaeon
Lineage: Archaea; Promethearchaeati; Candidatus Thorarchaeota
Source: RNAcentral